Molecule: long non-coding RNA, 475 nt
Filed under: Homo sapiens (human)
Lineage: Eukaryota; Metazoa; Chordata; Mammalia; Primates; Hominidae
Description: non-protein coding lnc-FH-5:3
Source: RNAcentral
UGUGGAAGUAAAUGAAGGUCACCAAAAUGAAAACAAAGAAAGGCUAUGUAUUCAGCACUUGCUGUAGCAAGGUAAUCGUCCACCACCACUUGUGUCUGGCAAAGACUCAAAGGCAGGCAGAGGAGUGGGAAAGCUUUAUAAUAAAAAGAGAGAGAAAGAUGAAUUCAGAAGUGUAAAUGAUUUUCUGCAUUCGAAAGGCUUUCUGAAGUAAAAAGAGUUAUAGGCGAAUUUAAAUUAUGAAAACCUGCCACCACCUAACUGCCCAAGAAAUCCAAGAAGCGCUUCAGUGAUCAUUUCUCCCAUUUUCAUAGCUAGCACUUAAAAUGACAGUACACACCAUAAUUUGAAAGUAUGUGCACAUAGAAAAAAGGUGCCCAGGUCCUGAUAUCCAAGGGCUGAAGGAAUAGAGAGGAAAGAGCGUGAGGGUUUAGUGAAUAACUAGGCAUGCAGAAUAAAAGACAUAGCCCAAUGGAUU